Brassica rapa (field mustard) is the source of this 2118-nucleotide long non-coding RNA. RefSeq lists it as uncharacterized. The record is from RefSeq and is a predicted model, not a curated record. Lineage: Eukaryota; Viridiplantae; Streptophyta; Magnoliopsida; Brassicales; Brassicaceae.
UGACAACAACAAUUUUAUUCCAAUUUUAUUAAAAGAAAAAAAAAACAAUGUUCUCUUCUUUAGUCUGCCAUAUUGAUUUAGUUAAACAUGCACCAAUAUAUCGCAUUAUUGCUCCCUCUCUCCAUUUAUGUAUGUAUUAUUAAGAUAUAUAUAUAUAACUAUGCAAAAAGGCCUAUAACAGUUAUGAUAUUGUAUUAUGCAAUAUAUGAUACUUUACAAAAUAUGAUACUCUCUACAAGUUGACAAAAGAAAACAACUUUCAAAUUAGAGAAAUACCCUAGGAUAGCACUAAAAAAAUUUCUAUCACAAAUAUAGACUCUAAAAAUCAAAAUGACCAAAAUAUUUCAUUAAAGAGAUAAAUAUACACUUAAGGUUAACUAAUCCAAACCUUAGGGUUUAGAGCUAAGGGGUGGGGAUUUGGGUUUGAGAUUUAAAAUUUUAUAAAAUAGAAAAUACAUAUUAAAAAUUGAAAAUAAAAAUUUUAAAAAUAGUUUCAAAAAGUAUUUUCGAAUUACAAAAGGAAAAUUUGAAAAAAAAAAUUUAAAAAAAGAUUCAAAAAAAAAUUUAUAAAAAAGUUCGAAUUUGAAAACAUAUAAUCUAAAACUAUAAAAAGAAUUAUAUUUUUUUAUUUUUUAUAUAUAUAGGGUAUUAGUGUUCUUUUACCUAUUAAAUGAAACAUUUUAGUUAUUUUCCUUCUUGUGAUCUAUUUUUGUGACAAAAAACUUGAAAAUGGUCUAUUUAUGAGAACUGCCCUUCAAAUUAAGGUUAUUGAAAUAUUUUUGUUAUGAUUUUCGUGAAUUGAUGAACUUGUAAAACGUAACACAUAAUUACAAGAUUUGGAGAAGAUUGCCCAUAUUCUUAUAAAAUAUAUCGGAAAUACUGCAUUCUCUAUAUGUACUACAUAUAUUGACAUGGUUUUUGGCAGUGCAUCUUGAUUUUUUAUGUGAAAUAUAUGAAAUGGUUUGUUCUCCUAAAAUUUAAUUUGAAUAGUGUAAAAAAGGAACACUACAUAUUAUUUAGAGCAUCUCCAAAAAGAAACUCUAUUUUGAAGUUUCCAAAACUCUAUAUUUGAAGUUUAAAGGUAUUCUUCUCCAAAAGCAAAACUUCAAACUCAACUUCAAAACUAUUUAUAUUUUAUAAUAUGGUCCUUAUAUUGUAAAUAAUUAGUAGAUAUAUAAUCAUAUUACAACAAUAUUAACUAAUAAAAUAUUCUAUUAAACUAUAAAAAUUUAAAUAAAAAUAACUUAAUUAAUAUUGAACUUCAAACAAAAUACCAUAUUAUUCUAUAAAAUGAUUUUCGUAAUGCAUAUAUGAUCUAUUAGUGUAUAUCAAAAUUAAAAUGGCUCUCCUCAUUUUUACUUUGUAGAUUACGAGCUAAAAUUUGUUGAAAUCGGAUGAUAUUGAUACUUGUAAAUACAUUAGAUCGGAACAAGAAAGUAAAUGAGAAACAUAAAAUAUUACUAAGAGACUAAUUUCUUUUCAAUGAUAUUAAUACUCGUGAAUAUAUUCGAUAUGAACAAGAAAAAAUUGUACGAAAAAUACAUCAAAAACAACAACAACAACAACAACAACCAUCUUAAAUUACACAAAAAAAAUUUGGACAAUAUUUAAAUGUUCUUAGCAGAAAAAGAGACACACCAUGCUACAGAUUUGGGUGGGUUUAUUAACAAAGGCAACUAGUAGGUAAACAGGACUAGAAUUAAGAAAAUUCUACUCUAUCUUGGGUUUGAUGUUCCUUUCUGACCAUAUGCCCUAAUCGAGAAAAACAGAUACUAAAAGAUAGAAACAUUUAAUGUUAUAUGCCCUGUCAUCAGAAGAAUUUAAUACACGAAAGAUCUAACCGUACCAAUAACUUGCAUUAAAAGACACUGCCACAUUAAGGGCCGUAUUUAAUAAAAAACUCGAAGACAUUUCAGACAAAUAUAUUGCGGGUUCAGACCCGGGUUUAAGCUGACUUUUUUUUUCCAUUGUUUUAAAAAUCGUAGGCUACUAAAAUCAUUUGAUCUUAAAUAUAAUCUGUAAAAAUUGCUAAAAAAAAUUUUUUUUGCUGAAAAGCAAUAAAUGUUUAUAAAAAUCCAUGUUUAAAAAAGCUAUCUAUACGGAGUAUAUUAGUAAAAG